This 246-nucleotide unclassified non-coding RNA is filed under the name Hevea brasiliensis (rubber tree). The record is from RNAcentral. Lineage: Eukaryota; Viridiplantae; Streptophyta; Magnoliopsida; Malpighiales; Euphorbiaceae.
AGAGGAUACUAUUUUCUGGUCCCUGAUUCAGAAAUGUAUAACGGUAGAAAACAUCAAUUUCUAAUGGAUGCAUGAGGUCUCUCCACAUAUCUUUCUGGGAGUCAAAAUAAGACAGCAAAACCGCCAGCCUGCUCAUAGCCCGAACUUUAGUAUUUGAUACCUGUAUAUAAGAGUCAGUAAAACUGAUAGAACCCUGGAGGAGGGGAACCUUUUCCUUGGAGUCAGAAAGUUCAUAAUCAAUGGUCA